This 2374-nucleotide long non-coding RNA is filed under the name Cicer arietinum (chickpea). Its description in RNAcentral is "long non-coding RNA (CARI_LNC002643)". The record is from RNAcentral. Lineage: Eukaryota; Viridiplantae; Streptophyta; Magnoliopsida; Fabales; Fabaceae.
UUUAAUUUAUUACUAUUAUGCGAUCUUUGACGUACAACAUGAACAAAUUCAUUGACGUACAACAUGAACAAAUUCUUCAUCAAAGUAACUGUUGAUAGGUAAAUACACUGCUACAAAUUCUCAGUUCAUAUUUCUCUUAAGUGGUAGAGAGCUUCCUAGAGUAAACGAUAUACAUGGGAUCAGAGCGUCCGGGAUUUGGAGAUAUAUCCACAGCCUACAAAAAGAAAAGACAUUGGCCUCAGCAUUGGUAACACUGUCACAUGAUAACAUCAUAUACAACAUUGUAGAGGCUUUCAUAUUUGUUUCAUGACUAGUAAAAGAAAAUUCUGUUUAAUAUAUAGGGAAAACAAGAGGUUGAAUUAAUUACCCUUCAGCAGUACCUUAAACUAUACUAUUUAGUAUGUUAUAACUGAAGUUUGUCCUAACAAAAUGGGAAAAUAUCAGUGAGAUUUACCUGAGGAGGUUCAAAUCCUCCAGCAUAAUGAAAAUACGACCCAACAAUCAUAACGUGAUCAGCAUCUCCAGUUGAAGUCCAUAUAGAAAUGGCCUUUGUAAAGAAGCAUCGGUUUGAGAAGCUGGAAUCAUUCAUCCUUAGUUGAGUAGGAUAUUGUAAGAUAUACAAGACCAAUAAUAGAUAUAACAUUGUAAAAUAGAGAAAUGUUAUUACUGAAAAGAUAUGAUCGCAUAUCAUGUUCAUUGCGUGAACCAUGCCCUGAGAAGUAGAAUAGGAUAUGAUCGCCCGACAUAGAAUUAUGUAGCAUGUCCUUCAAUUCAAAUCGUUCAUUAUACAUUGUGAACGGUUGAUAAGAUACGGACCGUUAUCCGUCACAAAGAUAAUAUUUUCUUCUUGAAACCCAUAUGAUUUAAUCAAUGAAAGUUUCAAAAGUUCGGCAUAUUUCACAUAACACAAUCUAUUGAACAUGUUCUGCGGAAACUCAGAGUGUAGUAUUCUUCCUACUGUUAUUACUGGUACUUACGCAAAUUAAUAAAUUUUAUUGAAUUUAUGUUUCAAUGUCUGGAUAUCAUUUAAAUUAUUUCAUUUUCUUUGCAGAAAAAGAUUUAAAUUCUUGUGCGGUCUUGUUACCGGAUUCGGUAUUUUUAACAGUGACAAUGGAUUGUUGCUAUAGUGGCGGGGUUUUUUAAAUCGAUAAAACAACAGGUACUCUGUAAGCCAAGAAGAGGGUUUGGCGCUAUUUCAGAGUUUACAUAUUUUCAAAAGCUACUCGAUAGGCCAAGAGGGUUAGGGGAAGUUCCACAUUUUCAAAGUGAAGCAGAUUUUGAAAGUGAAGACAAUGGAACACAAUGGAAACGAAUAUGCUUUAUUUCCUCGUCUGACAGAAAUCAAGUUUCAUACGACAGUAAAAGAAUAUUUCGAGAAUGCAUUUCCGCUUUUUCCGACGCUCUAUUAAGCUGCAUGGGCAGGGAAGGAGACCUCAGCAAUUUUGAAUUGACGAGGGAGAUAAACAACAUUUUAGCUUAUACUUGCUCAAUUCAAACGGCUUGUCUAAAGUGUGAUAACAAUUUAUCACCUAAAUUGUUUCUAGAUGGAAAAGAAAAGAAUUAAUAGCAAUGAAGUAUAUGCCUCGUGGUUUGAACUAUAGAUCAAUGAUGUUCGUGAUGUGACCUGGUGGUAGGAUGUUUUGUAAGAUGUUUUGUGCUUGAGAUGUCAUUAACAUGUGGUUUUGUGCUUGAGAUGUCAUUAACAUGUGGUUUGAUGCUGUGGAUUCAUCGAAAAAGUCUCUAAAUUAGUUGAUGAUUUCUAAAUAAAUCUUUAAACUUAAAGAUUUUAAUUUUGUCCCUAAAAUUUGAAUAAUUUAUAAUUAGAUUUUUAAAUUUAGGAUAUAAUUAUAAAUUAUAGAGUAUUAGAAACCUAAUUAUAAUAUUUUUUGUUACAAAAAGCUACUUAAAAUUCUCUAACUAGUUUAAUCAAAGCCUAAAAAACUAGUUUAAUCAAAAGGAAAAUGUUCAAACCUAUGUUUACUGAGCCCACAUAUGAAUUGUUUUCAAAACACAUUUAAUUUAAUAACACCCCCUCAUCAUUCUAGUCACACCCCCUAGACACAUUAAAUUCAACCAAAUGCCCAAAGUGCCUCUAUCUAUGAUCAUAUUCAAGUUUCAAAACACUUUUCUCUCUUAUCCAUGUUCAAAUUGUAGUGAUUUUUUUAAUUUAUUACUAUUAUGCGAUCUUUGACGUACAACAUGAACAAAUUCAUUGACGUACAACAUGAACAAAUUCUUCAUCAAAGUAACUGUUGAUAGGUAAAUACACUGCUACAAAUUCUCAGUUCAUAUUUCUCUUAAGUGGUAGAGAGCUUCCUAGAGUAAACGAUAUACAUGGGAUCAGAGCGUCCGGGAUUUGGAGAUAUAUCCACAG